Long non-coding RNA from Drosophila obscura, 862 nucleotides. RefSeq lists it as uncharacterized. The transcript has 3 exons. Lineage: Eukaryota; Metazoa; Arthropoda; Insecta; Diptera; Drosophilidae. The record is from RefSeq and is a predicted model, not a curated record.
UAGGCCGAAACUUUAAUGUUGUUUGCAUAAGUCAUUCAGCUAUUAAACCAGAAAUACAGCUAACCUUUUGAGCUAUACUAUAUUUAUUCGGAAUGAAUUGUUUUGUUUCUUUGAAAAUGAAACCAACUGAAGACUUUUGGAAGGAAUAUCACGCGCUAGGUGAACUAAAACCAACAACACCAUCAGCCCGUGUGAUUAUAGAGGAACAUCAGAGAAUCGAUGGCGCUUUUAUUGAGUUAAUGAAAUCGUUCAAGAAGAGCCGAAACAACCAGGAAGACCUUUAUAAAAUCAUGGUACGCGUUAAGCGAGUUCGAGAUGCAUUUUACAAAAAUAAAACUGACUGCACGGAGUUGGUGCAAGACGAGGGAUUGACCCAGAAUAUAAUGCUCAUAAGCGCCUGCGUUGAUGUCUCACUGGGGUACAUCCAUAAAAUGCAGGACAAAUACCAGAGCUUACAGAUGAAGCACUACAAUAGACGCAACCAAAAAAAAAGCACAUACUCGGGUCGGCAAAUGAAACCAGACAUCUUCGUAAAAUUUAACCCAUAUAACUGACAAGAGGAAGACGGAGUUACAAAAACCAAUGAUACAUACCAGAUGAUGUAAGCAUACGUAAAAUAAUAAUCCAAUAAACCAAACAAGUAGCAGCAUACAAUGGAAAAGGAAUCAUUGCAACGCAGAAGUGACAAAACUCAAGGUAGCUUAUCCCCCUCUCUUUCCCAUAGAUGAGCAGUCAACUGCAGGACACAUACCAGAAGAUAAACCACAUACAAAAAUAAUAUGCAUACCAGUAAUCGUACCAGACAAUCAAUGCAAACGCACAAAAACAGCAAACCAACAAGUAGUCGCAGUGCAGCCAACCA